Molecule: ribosomal RNA, 440 nt
Filed under: uncultured bacterium
Lineage: Bacteria
Description: partial 16S ribosomal RNA
Rfam family: Bacterial small subunit ribosomal RNA
Source: RNAcentral
CCUACGGGUGGCAGCAGUGGGGGAUAUUGCACAAUGGGGGGAACCCUGAUGCAGCGACGCCGCGUGGGUGAAGGAGUGCUUCGGCAUGUAAAGCUCUAUCAGCAGGAAAGAAAAUGACGGUACCUGACUAAGAAGCCCCGGCUAACUACGUGUCAGCAGCCGCGGUAAUACGGAGGGGGCAAGCGUGAUCCGGAUUUACUGGGUGUAAAGGGAGCGUAGACGGCAGCGCAAGUCUGGAGUGAAAUGCCGGGGCCCAACCCCGGAACUGCUCUGGAAACUGUGAAGCUGGAGUGCAGGAGAGGUAAGCGGAAUUCCUGGUGUAGCGGUGAAAUGCGUAGAUAUCAGGAGGAACACCGGCGGCGAAGGCGGCUUACUGGACUGUAACUGACGUUGAGGCUCGAAGGCGUGGGGAGCAAACAGGAUUAGAUACCCCUGUAGUC